GGCCCGGACCGUUCGCAUCGUACGCCUGUGACAUACCAAUUGUUGCCUCGGCGGAUCAGCCCGCUCCCGGUAAAACGGGACGGCCCGCCAGAGGACCCCUAAACUCUGUUUCUAUAUGUAACUUCUGAGUAAAACCAUAAAUAAAUCAAAACUUUCAACAACGGAUCUCUUGGUUCUGGCAUCGAUGAAGAACGCAGCAAAAUGCGAUAAGUAAUGUGAAUUGCAGAAUUCAGUGAAUCAUCGAAUCUUUGAACGCACAUUGCGCCCGCCAGUAUUCUGGCGGGCAUGCCUGUUCGAGCGUCAUUUCAACCCUCAAGCCCCCGGGUUUGGUGUUGGGGAUCGGCGAGCCCUUGCGGCAAGCCGGCCCCGAAAUCUAGUGGCGGUCUCGCUGCAGCUUCCAUUGCGUAGUAGUAAAACCCUCGCAACUGGUACGCGGCGCGGCCAAGCCGUUAAACCCCCAACUUCUGAAUGUUGACCUCGGAUCAGGUAGGAAUACCCGCUGAACUUAAGCAUAUCAAUAAGCGGAGGAA
RNAcentral lists this ribosomal RNA (530 nucleotides) under Fusarium proliferatum. Its description in RNAcentral is "eukaryotic LSU rRNA". The stretch from base 150 to 303 matches the Rfam family "5.8S ribosomal RNA". The record is from RNAcentral. Lineage: Eukaryota; Fungi; Ascomycota; Sordariomycetes; Hypocreales; Nectriaceae.